Molecule: microRNA precursor, 95 nt
Filed under: Mustela putorius furo (domestic ferret)
Lineage: Eukaryota; Metazoa; Chordata; Mammalia; Carnivora; Mustelidae
Description: miRNA (ENSMPUG00000023575.1)
Source: RNAcentral
UCAACUGGAGAUCUUGUUCAAAUGCAGAUUCUGAAUCAGUAGGUCGGGGGUAGGGCCUGAGAUUCUGCAUUUCUAACAAGUUCUCAAGUGAUUCC